GACUACGACGUUGAUAGGCCGGGUGUGUAAGCGCAGCGAUGCGUUGAGCUAACCGGUACUAAUGACCCGUGAGGCUUAACCUU
This 83-nucleotide ribosomal RNA is filed under the name Erwinia persicina. RNAcentral describes it as "partial 23S ribosomal RNA". It matches the Rfam family "Bacterial large subunit ribosomal RNA", at positions 2843 to 2925 of the family's 2925-position model. Lineage: Bacteria; Pseudomonadati; Pseudomonadota; Gammaproteobacteria; Enterobacterales; Erwiniaceae. RNAcentral also lists the same sequence under 1 other name. The record is from RNAcentral.